ACCAGACUUAACUAGAAUCUUAUUAAAAUGCAGAUUCUGAUUCAGAAUAGUUCAGUGGGGCCUGCAAUUCUAAUAAACUGCAGGUGAUUCUGAU
Molecule: microRNA precursor, 94 nt
Filed under: Marmota monax (woodchuck)
Lineage: Eukaryota; Metazoa; Chordata; Mammalia; Rodentia; Sciuridae
Source: RNAcentral